GCCUCAUUGGCUCAGGGACAGAGUGUCUGUCUGGUAAACAGAAGGCCGCUGGUUCGAUUCCAGCAUAAGGCA
Molecule: non-coding RNA, 72 nt
Organism: Enterobius vermicularis (human pinworm)
Lineage: Eukaryota; Metazoa; Nematoda; Chromadorea; Rhabditida; Oxyuridae
Source: Rfam